This 912-nucleotide ribosomal RNA is filed under the name uncultured bacterium. Its description in RNAcentral is "bacterial SSU rRNA". It matches the Rfam family "Bacterial small subunit ribosomal RNA", at positions 8 to 916 of the family's 1533-position model. The record is from RNAcentral.
AGAGUUUGAUCAUGGCUCAGAUUGAACGCUGGCGGCAGGCCUAACACAUGCAAGUCGAGCGGUAACAGAGAGUAGCUUGCUACUUUGCUGACGAGCGGCGGACGGGUGAGUAAUGCUUGGGAACAUGCCUUGAGGUGGGGGACAACAGUUGGAAACGACUGCUAAUACCGCAUAAUGUCUACGGACCAAAGGGGGCUUCGGCUCUCGCCUUUAGAUUGGCCCAAGUGGGAUUAGCUAGUUGGUGAGGUAAUGGCUCACCAAGGCGACGAUCCCUAGCUGGUUUGAGAGGAUGAUCAGCCACACUGGGACUGAGACACGGCCCAGACUCCUACGGGAGGCAGCAGUGGGGAAUAUUGCACAAUGGGCGCAAGCCUGAUGCAGCCAUGCCGCGUGUGUGAAGAAGGCCUUCGGGUUGUAAAGCACUUUCAGUCAGGAGGAAAGGUUAGUAGUUAAUACCUGCUAGCUGUGACGUUACUGACAGAAGAAGCACCGGCUAACUCCGUGCCAGCAGCCGCGGUAAUACGGAGGGUGCGAGCGUUAAUCGGAAUUACUGGGCGUAAAGCGUACGCAGGCGGUUUGUUAAGCGAGAUGUGAAAGCCCCGGGCUCAACCUGGGAACUGCAUUUCGAACUGGCAAACUAGAGUGUGAUAGAGGGUGGUAGAAUUUCAGGUGUAGCGGUGAAAUGCGUAGAGAUCUGAAGGAAUACCGAUGGCGAAGGCAGCCACCUGGGUCAACACUGACGCUCAUGUACGAAAGCGUGGGGAGCAAACGGGAUUAGAUACCCCGGUAGUCCACGCCGUAAACGAUGUCUACUAGAAGCUCGGAGCCUCGGUUCUGUUUUUCAAAGCUAACGCAUUAAGUAGACCGCCUGGGGAGUACGGCCGCAAGGUUAAAACUCAAAUGAAUUGACGG